Non-coding RNA from Dipodomys ordii (Ord's kangaroo rat), 56 nucleotides. The record is from Rfam. NCBI's taxonomy places the organism in Eukaryota, Metazoa, Chordata, Mammalia, Rodentia, Heteromyidae.
CUCUAGGCUUUUCUUUUGAGAGCCGAAAGCCACCUACAGAUCAAGAAACACAAUCU